UACGUAGGUGGCAAGCGUUGUCCGGAAUUAUUGGGCGUAAAGCGCGCGCAGGCGGCCUUUUAAGUCUGAUGUGAAAGCCCCCGGCUUAACCGGGGAGGGUCAUUGGAAACUGGGAGGCUUGAGUGCAGAAGAGGAAAGUGGAAUUCCAAGUGUAGCGGUGAAAUGCGUAGAGAUUUGGAGGAACACCAGUGGCGAAGGCGACUUUCUGGUGUGUUACUGACGCUGAGGCGCGAAAGCGUGGGGAGCAAACAGG
Molecule: ribosomal RNA, 253 nt
Filed under: uncultured bacterium
Lineage: Bacteria
Description: partial 16S ribosomal RNA
Rfam family: Bacterial small subunit ribosomal RNA
Source: RNAcentral